GACGAACGCUGGCGGCGUGCUUAACACAUGCAAGUCGAACGGAAAGGCCCUGCUUUUGUGGGGUGCUCGAGUGGCGAACGGGUGAGUAACACGUGAGUAACCUGCCCUUGACUUUGGGAUAACUUCAGGAAACUGGGGCUAAUACCGGAUAGGAUCUCCUGCUGCAUGGUGGGGGUUGGAAAGUUUCGGCGGUUGGGGAUGGACUCGCGGCUUAUCAGCUUGUUGGUUGGGUAGUGGCUUACCCAGGCUUUGACGGGUAGCCGGCCUGAGAGGGUGACCGGCCACAUUGGGACUGAGAUACGGCGCAGACGCCUACGGGAGGCAGCAGUGGGGAAUAUUGCACAAUGGGCGGAAGCCUGAUGCAGCAACGCCGCGUGCGGGAUGACGGCCUUCGGGUUGUAAACCGCUUUCGCCUGUGACGAAGCGUGAGUGACGGUAAUGGGUAAAGAAGCACCGGCUAACUACGUG
RNAcentral lists this ribosomal RNA (468 nucleotides) under uncultured bacterium. RNAcentral's name for it is "partial 16S ribosomal RNA". It matches the Rfam family "Bacterial small subunit ribosomal RNA", at positions 28 to 507 of the family's 1533-position model. The record is from RNAcentral.